CUACGGGCCGCUGCAGUGAGGAAUUUUGCGCAAUGGGGGAAACCCUGACGCAGCAACGCCGCGUGAGUGAAGAAGGCCUUUGGGUCGUAAAGCUCUGUCAACAGGGAAGAAGUUAUUUCAUAUAAAUAGUGUGAGAUAUUGACGGUACCUGUGAAGGAAGCAUCGGCUAACUCCGUGCCAGCAGCCGCGGUAAUACGGGGGGUGCAAGCGUGUAUUCGGAAUUAUUGGGCGUAAAGGGCACGCAGGCGGCCUUGUCAGUCGGGUGUGAAAGCCCGGGGCUCAACCCGGGACGUGCAUUUGAAACUGCAAGGCUUGAGUACGGUAGAGGGGAGGGGAAUUCCUGGUGUAGAGGUGAAAUGCGUAGAUAUCAGGAGGAACACCGGUGGCGAAGGCGGCUUCCUGGGCCUGUACUGACGCUGAGGUGCGAAGGCGUGGGUAGCGAACAGGAUUAGAUACCCGAGUAGUC
Molecule: ribosomal RNA, 466 nt
Filed under: uncultured bacterium
Lineage: Bacteria
Description: partial 16S ribosomal RNA
Rfam family: Bacterial small subunit ribosomal RNA
Source: RNAcentral